CGCAGCCGCGGUAAUUCCAGCUCCAAUAGCGUAUAUUAAAGUUGUUGCAGUUAAAAAGCUCGUAGUUGAAUUUCGGGGUCAGCAGGUUGGUCGUGCCUCUGGUACGCACUGGUUUCGCUGAUUCCUCCUUUCUGAAGAACUGUAAUGUCAUUAAUUUGGUGUUGCAGGGAAACAGGACUGUUACUUUGAAAAAAUUAGAGUGUUUAAAGCAAGCUAACGCUUGAAUACAUUAGCAUGGAAUAAUGAAAUAGGACGUUUGAUCCUAUUUUGUUGGUUUCUAGGAUUGACGUAAUGAUUAAUAGGGAUAGUUGGGGGCAUUAGUAUUCAAUUGUCAGAGGUGAAAUUCUUGGAUUUAUUGAAGACUAACUACUGCGAAAGCAUUUGCCAAGGAUGUUUUCAUUAAUCAAGAACGAAAGUUAGGGGAUCGAAGACGAUCAGAUACCGUCGUAGUCUUAACCAUAAACUAUGCCGAGCUAGGGAUAGGGGGAUGUUAAUUUUUUAAUGACUCA
This 509-nucleotide ribosomal RNA is filed under the name uncultured fungus. RNAcentral describes it as "SSU rRNA". It matches the Rfam family "Eukaryotic small subunit ribosomal RNA", at positions 569 to 1078 of the family's 1831-position model. The record is from RNAcentral. Lineage: Eukaryota; Fungi.